This 730-nucleotide ribosomal RNA is filed under the name uncultured bacterium. Its description in RNAcentral is "bacterial SSU rRNA". It matches the Rfam family "Bacterial small subunit ribosomal RNA", at positions 771 to 1501 of the family's 1533-position model. The record is from RNAcentral.
AACAGGAUUAGAUACCCUGGUAGUCCACGCCGUAAACGAUGUCGACUUGGAGGUUGUGCCCUUGAGGCGUGGCUUCCGGAGCUAACGCGUUAAGUCGACCGCCUGGGGAGUACGGCCGCAAGGUUAAAACUCAAAUGAAUUGACGGGGGCCCGCACAAGCGGUGGAGCAUGUGGUUUAAUUCGAUGCAACGCGAAGAACCUUACCUACUCUUGACAUCCAGAGAACUUAGCAGAGAUGCUUCGGUGCCUUCGGGAACUCUGAGACAGGUGCUGCAUGGCUGUCGUCAGCUCGUGUUGUGAAAUGUUGGGUUAAGUCCCGCAACGAGCGCAACCCUUAUCCUUUGUUGCCAGCGGUUAGGCCGGGAACUCAAAGGAGACUGCCAGUGAUAAACUGGAGGAAGGUGGGGAUGACGUCAAGUCAUCAUGGCCCUUACGAGUAGGGCUACACACGUGCUACAAUGGCAUAUACAAAGAGAAGCGACCUCGCGAGAGCAAGCGGACCUCAUAAAGUAUGUCGUAGUCCGGAUUGGAGUCUGCAGCUCGACUCCAUGAAGUCGGAAUCGCUAGUAAUCGUGGAUCAGAAUGCCACGGUGAAUACGUUCCCGGGCCUUGUACACACCGCCCGUCACACCAUGGGAGUGGGUUGCAAAAGAAGUAGGUAGCUUAACCUUCGGGAGGGCGCUUACCACUUUGUGAUUCAUGACCGGGGUGAAGUCGUAACAAGGUAACC